RNAcentral lists this transfer RNA (84 nucleotides) under Odoribacteraceae bacterium. Its description in RNAcentral is "tRNA-Leu". It matches the Rfam family "tRNA". Rfam says of the family: Transfer RNA (tRNA) molecules are approximately 80 nucleotides in length. Their secondary structure includes four short double-helical elements and three loops (D, anti-codon, and T loops). Further hydrogen bonds mediate the characteristic L-shaped molecular structure. tRNAs have two regions of fundamental functional importance: the anti-codon, which is responsible for specific mRNA codon recognition, and the 3' end, to which the tRNAs corresponding amino acid is attached (by aminoacyl-tRNA synthetases). tRNAs cope with the degeneracy of the genetic code in two manners: having more than one tRNA (with a specific anti-codon) for a particular amino acid; and 'wobble' base-pairing, i.e. permitting non-standard base-pairing at the 3rd anti-codon position. Lineage: Bacteria; Pseudomonadati; Bacteroidota; Bacteroidia; Bacteroidales; Odoribacteraceae. The record is from RNAcentral.
GCUCGAGUGGUGGAAUGGUAGACACGCGGGACUUAAAAUCCCGUGACCAUUGCGGUCGUGCGGGUUCAAGUCCCGCCUCGAGUA